Non-coding RNA from Aedes aegypti (yellow fever mosquito), 73 nucleotides. Lineage: Eukaryota; Metazoa; Arthropoda; Insecta; Diptera; Culicidae. The record is from Rfam.
CCUCUCAUGGCGUAGUUGUAACGCGCCCCAACUAGAGAUCGGGGAGUCGUGAGUUCGAUUCUCACUGAGAAGA